GCCCCGGUGGCGCAAUCGGUUAGCGCGCCGUACUUAUAAUGCGGAGGUUGUGAGUUCGACCCUCGCCCGGGACA
This 74-nucleotide transfer RNA is filed under the name Octopus sinensis (East Asian common octopus). Its description in RNAcentral is "tRNA-Ile". It matches the Rfam family "tRNA". Rfam says of the family: Transfer RNA (tRNA) molecules are approximately 80 nucleotides in length. Their secondary structure includes four short double-helical elements and three loops (D, anti-codon, and T loops). Lineage: Eukaryota; Metazoa; Mollusca; Cephalopoda; Octopoda; Octopodidae. The record is from RNAcentral.